Molecule: ribosomal RNA, 429 nt
Filed under: Chloroflexota bacterium
Lineage: Bacteria; Bacillati; Chloroflexota
Description: Chloroflexi bacterium partial 16S ribosomal RNA
Rfam family: Bacterial small subunit ribosomal RNA
Source: RNAcentral
UGGGGAAUAUUGCACAAUGGGCGCAAGCCUGAUGCAGCCAUGCCGCGUGUAUGAAGAAGGCCUUCGGGUUGUAAAGUACUUUCAGCGGGGAGGAAGGGAGUAAAGUUAAUACCUUUGCUCAUUGACGUUACCCGCAGAAGAACCACCGGCUAACUCCGUGCCAGCAGCCGCGGUAAUACGGAGGGUGCAAGCGUUAAUCGGAAUUACUGGGCGUAAAGCGCACGCAGGCGGUUUGUUAAGUCAGAUGUGAAAUCCCCGGGCUCAACCUGGGAACUGCAUCUGAUACUGGCAAGCUUGAGUCUCGUAGAGGGGGGUAGAAUUCCAGGUGUAGCGGUGAAAUGCGUAGAGAUCUGGAGGAAUACCGGUGGCGAAGGCGGCCCCCUGGACGAAGACUGACGCUCAGGUGCGAAAGCGUGGGGAGCAAACAGG